Molecule: long non-coding RNA, 1850 nt
Organism: Cucumis melo (muskmelon)
Lineage: Eukaryota; Viridiplantae; Streptophyta; Magnoliopsida; Cucurbitales; Cucurbitaceae
Exons: 5
Source: RefSeq, a predicted model, not a curated record
AAAGCCCUAAAUUUUGAAAUCUCUUCGUCGCGCGCGCCUAAGUCUCUUUGUCUUCCUUGUUCGUUUCCGCCGUCGCCCUAAAAUCUCUCGCACGAAAACUCAGUCGUCUACUUCCCAGAUUUCGUCUUCUCCGUUCACGAAAACUCAGUCCUCCGUCGUUGCCGUCGGUUCGCACCCAACUAUUUCCGUGGCGAGAGAACGAAGAUGGAAACGGAAGUUAUAAGAACCCUAGCUUACUUUAUCGAAUUGGAACAAGAAAAUUAAAAAAGGGAGAUUUUGAAUGAGUAGAUUAAUGCUUAUUUGAUAUGCCGAGUUGGAUUGAGAGAGCAUGAUGGUUCAAGUGUUGCUGUUUCUUCUCGGUUCUUAUGGGGAACGGAUCUGGUUUUCUGAUUUUAGAAAAGGGUUAAUCAGGUCAAGAAAAGGCCAGGUGGGAUCUGUGCAUCACUUUCAAAGACGGGAGAGUAUCCUUCGCAGAGGCCACCAACUCCUCUUUUGGAUACAAUAAACUAUCCAAUUCAUAUGAAAAAUCUACACCAACUCCUCUUUUGGAUACAAUAAACUAUCCAAUUCAUAUGAAAAAUCUAUCUAUCAAGGAGCUUUAUCAACUAGGUGAUGAAGUAAGAUCCGAUGUCAUCUUCAACGUUUCUAAAACUGGUGGUCACUUGGGUUCCAGCCUUGGCGUGGUGAAGCUCUCGGUGGCUCUUCACUAUGUCUUCAAUGCUCCACAGGACAGAAUUUUGUGGGAUGUUGGUCAUCAGGUGCUGUUCAUCUUGCAUUCUCUCUUGCUUGGGAAAUAUUUAUAUUUGACUUGGUGAGAUAAGAGAUGUCAAUGGCCUUUUAUUUUAAUACGUUAUAAAAUAUGUGAUGAUUGUAGUCUUAUCCACACGAAAUUCUAACAGGAAGGAGGGACAAAAUGUCAGUUUUUUUCUUAAAAUUAAGUUAUAAACUUACUUCCACCUUUCUUUUUUUGCAAUUUCUGGCAUAGAUUUCUGUUAGUAUGUUGAGAGGGAGGAACAAAUUUUGAUGCAUCAUGCAUUAGUUCUUUUGUUAUAUCUUUAUGAAGCAAUUUUCUUGUAGGUUUUUUGAAUCAUUUUUAAGCUUUGAAGACCAAAGAAUUCAGCAUCUUCUUCAUUUCCACAGUUUUUGCUACUGGAAAUGAGGGGGUGAAUAACCUUGGCUUUAUUUGAUUUAUGGGAAAUAAAUGUCUUGAAUUCAUAAUAUAUAGAAACUGAUUUGGUAAUUAGUUUGAUUCUAAUUCUUGAAUGCUGCUUCUUUCUGUUCAUUUUAAAUAUUCUAAUGUUUGUUGCACCUCUAACUUCAAUUGACGUAGAACGAUAUGGAUCAUAGUUGUCAUCCAAUGAACUCCAUGAGUUUGAUGCUCUCAAGGAUGAUUACGAGAUCAAUUGGCAUUUAAAGCACCUUUAAGAAGAUUGCAUCUAAUUGAUGUGUGAAAAGCAAACCAAGUAGUUCUCACUCCUUUUAAUCCUAGGAAAUUUAUCUUUUUGUGGCUGAUUUUUUGAAUUGUUCAUAUGGAGAGGAGGAUUGAUUGGUAUACUUUUGAGACUUUGUUGUGAUAUCCAUUCUGAAACUUUGUUGAUAGGUUAAUUGUUCAUAAGAGUUGAAUUGUUGAUAGGUGAAUUGUUCAUAUGGAGGGUUGAUAGGUGAAUUGUUCUUAAGAGUUGAAUUGUUUUGAAACUUUGCUGUGGUAGCCAUCCUGAAACUUUGUUGCGGUUGCCAUUCUGAAAUUUUAUGUAUAAAGAUGAUAUGCUUUUGGGUUAAGUUAGUUAAUUAGAGGAUGUUGAGUUGAAUCCUUGGAAAUUUGAUGGAAUUAUUUAUAUUGAUUUUGUAAA